RNAcentral lists this transfer RNA (89 nucleotides) under Nitrospinota bacterium. Its description in RNAcentral is "tRNA-Ser". It matches the Rfam family "tRNA". From Rfam's summary of the family: Transfer RNA (tRNA) molecules are approximately 80 nucleotides in length. The record is from RNAcentral. RNAcentral also lists the same sequence under 1 other name. Lineage: Bacteria; Pseudomonadati; Nitrospinota.
GGAGAGGUGGCCGAGAGGUCGAAGGCGGUUGACUCGAAAUCAGCUGUACCCUACGGGUACCGUGGGUUCGAAUCCCACCCUCUCCGCCA